Long non-coding RNA from Corticium candelabrum, 348 nucleotides. RefSeq lists it as uncharacterized. The record is from RefSeq and is a predicted model, not a curated record. The transcript has 3 exons. Lineage: Eukaryota; Metazoa; Porifera; Homoscleromorpha; Homosclerophorida; Plakinidae.
UGAGUAAUCUGGAUAACUUCCAUUAUUGCACCUGCCAGUAGACGAAUUACAUGUGUGGUUUAGGCAUAAGUCAUCUGUGUUUCAAUUAAUUAACAUUUUCUGGAUCUCGAUAAGUUCAUCUUUUGAGAUUUUCCACAGAGUUACACAGAAAGUGCCUUUUCUUCAGGGAGCUACCAUGACCAGUUUUCUGAAGAAAUGAGUGCAACUAAAUUAUUUGCAGGAUCUUUUGGGAGACCAGCCAUGCUGAAAGAGAUUUCUGAAUAAAUUUGCAUACAUCAUGUGUGUAUCUAUUUACCAUAUAUCUAUAAUGCUCACUUGAACGAUCUGUCAUUCAUUGUGUCUCUGGCU